AAGAUGGCGGCUGGAGACUAGCGCUGGAGAGGGGGAGCCUUCCAUAUCCGGCCACUUCUCUCCACAGCCGCCAUUUUGGCAGAAGCCUAAGCCUUGCUCAUCCCUUACUUAGGCUACAUUUUCAAAAGUCAGAAAAAACUUUUUCCUGAAGAAGGGGUUUCUGAGACAAGUAGGUCAAAGAAAGGCCAGCGUGUGGGAGUGUGUGUGUGUGUGUGUGUGUGUGUGUGUGUCCUUGAGUAAAAUUGCAAGCCAAAGAGGAAGGCAGCAGUAUGUAUUCUCUGUAGGACCCCUAUUUGUGACCAAUUGUAAGAUCAUCUGAAGAUCGAGUCCGAUUGCCUGGCCAGGCCGGGCUGGGUGGUAUGUGCCCCCGUCACGCCGGAGGUUCCUGCUUUAGCGACGCCAAAGAUUGGGUGUGAGGGCAGCCCGCGGUGACAGAGACACGGAUCGGACCGAGAGAAAAAGGCUGUGGGCUUCACUGAGCAGAGUGACGUCAAUUCACAGGACCUCCACAGUGUGCCUUUUGCUGGGUAGGAAAAUGCCAGCCAGCUUGGAAAACAAGAAGACACAUUUAUGUCUACCAUGAGCAUUGGCAUCAGCCAAUUAUCCCACACGUUUUCGGCUAGUCAGUGCUGAAGAGAGCAAGAAUUUCAACCCUUCUUGCUACAUUCAAGACAUAGAAAUCCAGCCAGAAGACAACUCGAGAUAUUUUGUGGAUCUAUGCCUUUCCUUCAGAAAAGCAAAUAUCUACCAUAAAAAAACACUGGUCCAAUAUUCACUUCUAUAAGAAAUGCAGGGGCAAAUAAAUUAUGGAUUUUAUUAUCGCUAAUAGAGUCACUUAACCAUUACUCCUUACUACAUUCUGCUUUUCUAACAAAAUUUCGACUGAAUAUUCUCCCUCAGAGCCUCCAAAAGGAACCAACUGAUGACAACUGAUUUUGGACUUCUGGCCUCCUGAACUAUAACAAAAUAAACAUCUGUUGU
This 981-nucleotide long non-coding RNA is filed under the name Homo sapiens (human). Its description in RNAcentral is "HSALNT0392474". The record is from RNAcentral. Lineage: Eukaryota; Metazoa; Chordata; Mammalia; Primates; Hominidae.